GAUGAAGAACGUAGCGAAAUGCGAUAAGUAGUGUGAAUUGCAGAAUUCAGUGAAUCAUCGAAUCUUUGAACGCACAUUGCGCCCUUUGGUAUUCCAAAGGGCAUGCCUGUUCGAGCGUCAUUUCAACCCUCAGGCCUCGCGUCUGGCGUUGGGGCGCUGCGGCCCUCCCGCAGGCCCCCAAAUUUAGCGGCGGAUUCCCCGCGGCCCUGAGCGCAGUAGAGAGUAAAAACUUUAACGCUCCGGCGGCCGUGGCGCGGUUCUGCCUCUUUCCCAAUAGCGCCAAUAGCGCCACCCCCAAAAAAGUUGACCUCGGAUCAGGUAGGACUACCCGCUGAACUUAAGCAUAUCAAUAAGCGGAGGA
RNAcentral lists this unclassified non-coding RNA (361 nucleotides) under soil metagenome. RNAcentral describes it as "partial contains 5.8S ribosomal RNA, internal transcribed spacer 2, and large subunit ribosomal RNA". The stretch from base 1 to 120 matches the Rfam family "5.8S ribosomal RNA", at positions 35 to 154 of the family's 154-position model. The record is from RNAcentral.